Non-coding RNA from Phrynosoma platyrhinos (Desert horned lizard), 71 nucleotides. NCBI's taxonomy places the organism in Eukaryota, Metazoa, Chordata, Lepidosauria, Squamata, Phrynosomatidae. The record is from the annotation of a GenBank genome assembly.
GCUAGCAUGGCAUAGUGGUUUGAGCAUUAGUCUAUGAUUCUGGAGACCAGAGUUCGAUUCAUAGUUCAGCC